GACCAGACUCCUACGGGAGGCAGCAGUGGGGGAUAUUGCACAAUGGGGGAAACCCUGAUGCAGCGACGCCGCGUGGGCGAAGAAGUAUUUCGGUAUGUAAAGCCCUAUCAGCAGGGAAGAAGAAAUGACGGUACCUGAGUAAGAAGCACCGGCUAAAUACGUGCCAGCAGCCGCGGUAAUACGUAUGGUGCAAGCGUUAUCCGGAUUUACUGGGUGUAAAGGGAGCGUAGACGGCAAGGCAAGUCUGGAGUGAAAGCCCGUGGCCCAACCACGGGACUGCUUUGGAAACUGUGUUGCUGGAGUGCAGGAGGGGUAAGCGGAAUUCCUAGUGUAGCGGUGAAAUGCGUAGAUAUUAGGAGGAACACCAGUGGCGAAGGCGGCCUACUGGACGGUGACUGACGCUGAGGCUCGAAAGCGUGGGGAGCAAACAGGAUUAGAUACCCCCGUA
This 448-nucleotide ribosomal RNA is filed under the name uncultured bacterium. RNAcentral's name for it is "bacterial SSU rRNA". It matches the Rfam family "Bacterial small subunit ribosomal RNA", at positions 329 to 792 of the family's 1533-position model. The record is from RNAcentral.